Molecule: long non-coding RNA, 1215 nt
Filed under: Anolis carolinensis (green anole)
Lineage: Eukaryota; Metazoa; Chordata; Lepidosauria; Squamata; Anolidae
Description: lncRNA (ENSACAG00000039945.1)
Source: RNAcentral
CCCCCAACCAGUACUGGACAACUUAGGGAGUUGUCAAAGUACAGUAGAGUCUCACUUAUCCAACAUUCGCUUAUUCAACAUUCUGGAUUAUCCAACGCAUUUUUGUAGUCAAUGUUUUCAAUAUAUCAUGAUAUUUUGGUGCUAAAUUCGUAAAUACAGUAAUUACCACAUAGCAUUACUGCGUAUUGAACUACUUUUUCUGUCAAAUUUGUUGUGUAACAUGAUGUUUUGGUGCUUAAUUUGUAAAAUCAUAACCUAAUUUGAUGUUUAAUAGGCUUUUCCUUAAUCCCUCCUUAUUAUCCAACAUAUUCGCUUAUCCAACGUUCUGCUGACCCGUUUAUGUUGCAUAAGUGAGACUCUACUGUAGUACCUUUUUCAAGUUUUGGCCCAGUUGAUGGCCCAUCAGUAGAUCUCUUUUGUGAUGGUUACUGCAUUCUAUUCCGUAAUAAUAUCAGCAUCUAUUGCGUUCAAGACAGGCUAAUGACCUCACCUUGGAUAAGUGAGACUCUACUGUAUAUAUAUUCUUUGGAACUGAAGCUCCUCAGUACAUGAGCAACAGGCUUUUCCUUUCAAGCAACAGAGUACUUGAUAAUCAUGAGUAUCUUUAAAAACAUGGGUCUCAGAGGAAAAAAAAAUCACAUACCUUCUCAGGAAUAUGGUGGUGCUUAAAAUAGUUCCAGAAGGAAAACCUGUGGGGCUCCAUUUUCUAAACCACUACAAGAUUAUAAAAUAAAACACGUUGUACAUAUGCUGGAAAAUGCUAUCCCAUCCAACUGAACUGCACAGUAGAACUCAUAAUAUAUCCUGGAAAAAGCGUGAUGUGGUGUUAAAUGUAUUCCCCUAACCACCUUUAAAUAAUUGUGUCAAAAAAGGCAACAGCUGGUUUUGAUUCAAUGUGGAAGUGGCUCUAAAUGAGAGCUUUUCCAGGUAUUAUUCCCCAAUGAAGACCCAGAACAAUUUUCAGCAAUAAAACUGAUUCUUGCCAGUCUGUGGGAACCAGUCAAGAGAAAGAAGGUAUGUAUUGAAUCGUAUUUCUGGUUUUGUGCCUUUAUAACUUUGUCAAAUAAGGACUAGUGAGGAUCUUAGGAAUGGUAUUUUAGAAUGCAGAGCUCCAUGAGAGUUCCUGGCUAUCACGGGUGCAUUGUGCUGACAUCAGCAAAGACACCAACCCAACCAAGAGAAAAAAGGUUCCAGAGAUAGAAAUAUCAUGGAAAA